AGGUCUGAGAAAUAAAGAGAAAGUGUACAAAGAGAGGAAUUUUACAGCUGGGCCUCCGGGGGUGACGUCACCUAUCGCUCCAGCCGGUCCCUCCAUUCGAGGUCCCUGACUUCCUGCAACAGACUGAGAUGGCCUUCUGAGCUUUUCCAGGGCUGACGACCACCUUCUUGAUACCUUCCCCUCUCUCGUUCUGAAUCCGUGCCCACCAGAUGGGGCCGUCUAGUUGCAGGAAAACAAGCUCAGGGCUCCCACUGAUUCUACAUGAUGGGAAUCCAGGCUUUCGGAGAUGAGGACUGGGAGGUCUCCAGACCACACAAGCCCCCUAUUUGCACUGGCCUUUGGAAUGAGCCUACAGCCUGCCUCCACUCCUCCUGGUACCCCAGCUGUUCUCAAGGAAUUGGCCAGAAGUCAGACUCCUUUCCCAGCUGUCCUCCACUUCUUUCCUGCCAGGCACCCUAGGCCCCAUGGUGGGAUUGGGCCUAUAGGCUGUGAUUUUCCACAUCCUUGUCAAACCUGUACUACCUGAAUGCCUAGAGGAAAAGAUACUGCCUUAAUUACUAUUAUGAGCACGAAUGCCUUCUUACUCUUGAAUUUAGCUGAGUGCUGCCUGCAGGUAAAGUCACCUGGAGAACCAUCCAGGGACUUUGUCCUCAUAGGAUCACUUGUACCUCUCUAGGGUUGCUGUGGCAGCUGCCAGAGUGGCCCGGGCCAUGGAUGAGGGCCAGGAUAUGGAAAGCAGAGGCAGAAAUGAGCCCAGAGGCCACAGGGCCCAGCUCUCAGGCUCCCACGGUGAAGCCCAGAGGGUUCCUUCUCUCUCCUGCUUCAGGCUGACAAUGUUUGUCAGCCUCUGCUCCCAACCCCUAUACCCAGCAACCUCUGCGCCCAAGCACAUGGUCUGAAGAAUAUUCUGGUGUUGGGCCCCUGUAGGUGGCCUGCCGUGACGGUGGAAGCCUGGAACGUAGUGACAUGGAUUCAUCAUUGGGAUGUUUCAUCCUAAGGAAACGCACUCGCAGGUGGCUGUAGACCUUGGGGACUCCAGCCUCGUUCAUUUAAGCUCCCACAAUGUUCCAGGCCCUAUGCGGCUUGCAAGGGGCAGAGAGACACAGAAUGACAGCCGACAUGGCACUCUAUUGGUGCACUGGCACUGUUUUUUUUUUUGAGAUGGAGUCUUGCUCUGUCACCCAGGCUGGAGU
Molecule: long non-coding RNA, 1193 nt
Filed under: Homo sapiens (human)
Lineage: Eukaryota; Metazoa; Chordata; Mammalia; Primates; Hominidae
Description: HSALNT0378692
Source: RNAcentral